This 866-nucleotide ribosomal RNA is filed under the name uncultured bacterium. RNAcentral describes it as "bacterial SSU rRNA". It matches the Rfam family "Bacterial small subunit ribosomal RNA", at positions 26 to 898 of the family's 1533-position model. The record is from RNAcentral.
AGAGCGAACGCUGGCGGCGUGCCUAACACAUGCAAGUCGAACGCGCUCCAUUCGGUAGCAAUACCGAUGAAGAGUGAGUGGCGAACGGGUGAGUAGCACGUGAGCAACCUGCCCCGAAGACUGGGACAACACCGGGAAACCGGUGCUAAUACCGGAUAUCCCUAUCGGAUCGCAUGAUCUGAUAAGGAAAUGGAUUCCGCUUCGGGAGGGGCUCGCGGCCUAUCUGCUAGUUGGUGAGGUAAUAGCUCACCAAGGCAUCGACGGGUAGCUGGUCUGAGAGGACGAUCAGCCACACUGGGACUGAGACACGGCCCAGACUCCUACGGGAGGCAGCAGUGGGGAAUCUUGCGCAAUGGGCGAAAGCCUGACGCAGCAACGCCGCGUGGAGGACGAAGGCUUUCUGAGUUGUAAACUCCUUUCAGCAGGGACGAUUGUGACGGUACCUGCAGAAGAAGCACCGGCCAACUACGUGCCAGCAGCCGCGGUGAUACGUAGGGUGCAAGCGUUGUCCGGAUUUAUUGGGCGUAAAGAGCUCGUAGGCGGUUUGAUUAGUCGGGUGUGAAACCUCCAGGCUUAACCUGGAGCCGCCACUCGAUACUGUCAUGACUAGAAUUCGGUAGGGGACCACGGAAUUCCUGGUGUAGCGGUGAAAUGCGCAGAUAUCAGGAGGAACACCAGCAGCGAAGGCGGUGGUCUGGGCCGACAUUGACGCUGAGGAGCGAAAGCGUGGGGAGCGAACAGGAUUAGAUACCCUGGUAGUCCACGCCGUAAACGUUGGGCACUAGGUGUGGGGACUAUUCAACGGUUUCCGUGCCGCAGCUAACGCAUUAAGUGCCCCGCCUGGGGAGUACGGCCGCAAGGCUAAA